ACCUGGCUGGCUCAGUAGGUAGAGUGAGUGACUCUUGAUCUCAGGGUUGUGAGUUCAAGCCCCAAGCUGGGUA
This is a non-coding RNA of Ailuropoda melanoleuca (giant panda), 73 nucleotides long. The record is from Rfam. Lineage: Eukaryota; Metazoa; Chordata; Mammalia; Carnivora; Ursidae.